GCUCCAAACCUCUUCAGCCACAGGGUCCCAGGCGGUGGAGGAAAUGUCUCAGAGCUGGAGCAGCAGCCAAUGGCAGGCUCUCCUGGAGCCUCUACAAGACUACGGUCAUUCCCAGAGCCCCCAGGCUGGGCUCUGAGGGCCUUCUAAGGGUGGGGACUGGAGAGAAAGAGAACAAAAGGGCUUGUGGCUUCCCUGAGAGUCCAUCUGUGUGCUCUGCCCAGCACCCCAGGCACUGUCCUCCUAAGACUCAGGGCGCACCUCCAGAAACAACCCAGCCUGGGACACUCAGAUAGCUGCCCUCAGCUUCCAUCUCCUCUCCACUCCACUCAGUGGAUCGCAAGGUCAGUAAAUGCCAGCAUCCUCUCAUUUUCAGUCCUGAAUGUCUUCUCCUAAGAGUCUUAAUCCUCUCCGGUAAAAUGAGUAUUCACUGGGCUUCCACCAUGUGCUAGACACCAAGAAUACCAAUCAUACAGCCCUCCCUCCAGGAACCUACGUGCUGAAGGAGGAGAUAAUGGAGAAACAGAACAGCUGCCCACCACAGCAUGAGCAGUGCCACCGGUGAACUUGGGAUCGUGCUGCAGGCUCCCUGGAGGGGUUUACAUCUGAGAUGAGUCUUCAAUGAGAAGGAAUCAGCCUGGUGGAGAAGGAGGGCACAUCCAGGAGAGGGACUGGCAUGAACAAAGGCAUGGAGCAGACAAAAGUAGUUUAACCUGGGCAAUGGGAGUGGGGGAUGGAGAAACAGAGGGUAUCUGCGUGAAUUCAUUGAGCUCUCCGUGAAAGGCUGAGAGGUCGGGGACUUCAACCUGGGUGCCAGGACGUGGAGCUUGGACUCUACCUGCAGGCAAUGGGAAGUCACUGAAGGGUAUUGAGCAGAGAUAUGCCAUGAUCAG
This 890-nucleotide long non-coding RNA is filed under the name Homo sapiens (human). RNAcentral's name for it is "HSALNT0098371". Lineage: Eukaryota; Metazoa; Chordata; Mammalia; Primates; Hominidae. The record is from RNAcentral.